GUGCACAUUUCAUUUUUUCUUUUUUAUUAAAAGAAAAAAUAUUUCUCAUAUGCUAAACAAACUUGAAGGUAAAUUAAUAGCAUGCUUAUCUUAGCCACUGCUGUCAGUCGCCACCCUUCAGACAAGU
Small nucleolar RNA from Spermophilus dauricus (Daurian ground squirrel), 127 nucleotides. The record is from Ensembl. NCBI's taxonomy places the organism in Eukaryota, Metazoa, Chordata, Mammalia, Rodentia, Sciuridae.